UACCUGCUAGCUCUGUCUGUAAAGCAUAAGACUCUUAAUCUUAGGGUUGUGGGUUCGAGCCCCAUGUUGGGCAA
This is a non-coding RNA of Podarcis lilfordi (Lilford's wall lizard), 74 nucleotides long. The record is from the annotation of a GenBank genome assembly. Lineage: Eukaryota; Metazoa; Chordata; Lepidosauria; Squamata; Lacertidae.